CGAGGGCUCAUUGUUGGACACGGAGAGGUGGAGGUGUAUGCGUCUGUGUUUUUCAAGUUGCUAAGGUCCUUGAGGAGAGGGAUGCGGGGACAGUUCCAGGGUGUCCGAUGUCCUCUUCUGUUCUCCGAAGAUACCGGGUAUGCUCAUGGCACAUACACAUGCAGGAAGACAAAACACUCAUACACUUAAAAAAAAAAUCUAGCUCAAAGAGCCCCCCCCCCCCAAUUUCCUGAAGAACACAACGGAGCUGUGAAGAAUUUCUGAAGGCCUCAGGCCUACCAAGUGCUGUCCGGCUGUCCCUUGCACUGCCAUUGAGGUUUCACAGGCUUCUCCAGUCUCAACAAGAUGAAGAGAAUUUUUCCCAAGGGUCUCUGCAGCAGAGCCUCCAACUGGCCGUUUCCUUCAUGCGGGGACUACCUGGCGAGAUAGGCUCAGGAUUGGAGGCCUGGAGAAUCCAGGUCUCCCUGGCUUUCUUACCCUAGCUCUGAUUCAUGCAGCUAAUUAAUUAAUUAAUUGAUUGAUUAAUUAAUGUAUCAAAUGAGCACAGAAACUUUACAAGUCAGUAUU
Long non-coding RNA from Meriones unguiculatus (Mongolian gerbil), 567 nucleotides. RefSeq lists it as uncharacterized. NCBI's taxonomy places the organism in Eukaryota, Metazoa, Chordata, Mammalia, Rodentia, Muridae. The record is from RefSeq and is a predicted model, not a curated record. The transcript is spliced from 3 exons.